AUAUUGGACAAUGGGGGCAACCCUGAUCCAGCCAUGCCGCGUGUGUGAAGAAGGUCUUCGGAUUGUAAAGCACUCUAAGUUGGGAGGAAGGGCUUUAGGCUAAUACCCUGAAGUUUUGACGUUACCAACAGAAUAAGCACCGGCUAACUCUAUGCCAGCAGCCGCGGUAAUAACGAAGGUGCAAGCGUUAAUCGGAAUCACUGGGAGUAAAGCGCGCGUAAGUGGUUCAGGAAGAUGGGUGUGAAAACCCCGGGCUUAAACUGGGAACUGCUUUCAUAACUGCUGAGCUAAAGUACGGGAGAGGGUAGUGGAAUUUCCUGUGUAGCGGUGAAAUGCGUAGAUAUAGGAAGGAACACCAGUGGCGAAGGCGACUACCUGGACUGAUACUGACACUGAGGUGCGAAAGCGUGGGGAGCAAACA
RNAcentral lists this ribosomal RNA (421 nucleotides) under uncultured bacterium. RNAcentral describes it as "partial 16S ribosomal RNA". It matches the Rfam family "Bacterial small subunit ribosomal RNA", at positions 361 to 774 of the family's 1533-position model. The record is from RNAcentral.